RNAcentral lists this ribosomal RNA (406 nucleotides) under uncultured Gemmata sp. Its description in RNAcentral is "partial 16S ribosomal RNA". It matches the Rfam family "Bacterial small subunit ribosomal RNA", at positions 355 to 774 of the family's 1533-position model. The record is from RNAcentral. Lineage: Bacteria; Pseudomonadati; Planctomycetota; Planctomycetia; Gemmatales; Gemmataceae.
UCGAGGAUCUUCGGCAAUGGGCGCAAGCCUGACCGAGCGAUGCCGCGUGCGCGACGAAGGCCUUCGGGUUGUAAAGCGCGAAAGUGGGGAGAAAACCGAAAGGCUGAUCUAUCCACAGUAAGCUCGGGCUAAGUUCGUGCCAGCAGCCGCGGUAAGACGAACCGAGCGAACGUUGUUCGGAAUCACUGGGCUUAAAGGGCGCGUAGGCGGGCUGUCAAGUCUGGGGUGAAAUCCCGCGGCUCAACCGCGGAACUGCCUCGGAUACUGACGGUCUCGAGGGGGGUAGGGGCGAGCGGAACUGAUGGUGGAGCGGUGAAAUGCGUUGAUAUCAUCAGGAACUCCGGUGGCGAAGGCGGCUCGCUGGACCUCAUCUGACGCUGAGGCGCGAAAGCUAGGGGAGCAAACG